UACAGAGGGUGCAAGCGUUAAUCGAAAUGACUGGGCGUAAAGGGCACGUAGGCGGCCGAAUAAGUUGGAUGUGAAAGCCCUGGGCUUAACCUAGGAAUGGCAUUCAAAACUGAUUGGCUAGAGUAUGGUAGAGGUAAGUGGAAUUUCCGGUGUAGCGGUGAAAUGCGUAGAUAUCGGAAGGAACACCCGUGGCGAAGGCGGCUACCUGGCCCAAUACUGACACUCAGGUGCGACAGCGUGGGGAGCAAACAGG
RNAcentral lists this ribosomal RNA (253 nucleotides) under uncultured bacterium. RNAcentral describes it as "partial 16S ribosomal RNA". It matches the Rfam family "Bacterial small subunit ribosomal RNA", at positions 524 to 776 of the family's 1533-position model. The record is from RNAcentral.